AUUGAACGCUGGCGGCAGGCCUAACACAUGCAAGUCGAGCGGAUGAAGGGAGCUUGCUCCUGGAUUCAGCGGCGGACGGGUGAGUAAUGCCUAGGAAUCUGCCUGGUAGUGGGGGAUAACGUCCGGAAACGGGCGCUAAUACCGCAUACGUCCUGAGGGAGAAAGUGGGGGAUCUUCGGACCUCACGCUAUCAGAUGAGCCUAGGUCGGAUUAGCUGGUUGGUGGGGUAAAGGCCUACCAAGGGGAAGAUCCGUAACUGGUCUGAGAGGAUGAUCAGUCACACUGGAACUGAGACACGGUCCAGACUCCUACGGGAGGCAGCAGUGGGGAAUAUUGGACAAUGGGCGAAAGCCUGAUCCAGCCAUGCCGCGUGUGUGAAGAAGGUCUUCGGAUUGUAAAGCACUUUAAGUUGGGAGGAAGGGCAGUAAGUUAAUACCUUGCUGUUUUGACGUUACCAACAGAAUAAGCACCGGCUAACUUCGUG
This 484-nucleotide ribosomal RNA is filed under the name uncultured bacterium. RNAcentral's name for it is "partial 16S ribosomal RNA". It matches the Rfam family "Bacterial small subunit ribosomal RNA", at positions 30 to 507 of the family's 1533-position model. The record is from RNAcentral.